This is a long non-coding RNA of Capsicum annuum, 850 nucleotides long. RefSeq lists it as uncharacterized. The transcript is spliced from 3 exons. The record is from RefSeq and is a predicted model, not a curated record. Lineage: Eukaryota; Viridiplantae; Streptophyta; Magnoliopsida; Solanales; Solanaceae.
UAGGGUUAUAUUUUGGACUUUCAAUAUAACACCCUAAUGGUCAUAAUAAUCGUUUGUGUGUUUUUUUCUCAUGGUCAAUAUAUGAUAAUAAAUUUUCUUCGUGGUCUUAUAGUGCCUCUUGAUCUCAAAGAAAGAAGUAUUAAGUAAUGAAGUAAGAAACAAAUUUUCAUGUACUAUUUUAAUUGUUUUUAUAUGUCAAUUGUUGUGAUUUUUUUUUUUCAUGUUCUGAUUUAAUUUGUUUCUAUUUUGUGAUUAUUUGAUUGAAAUUAUUGUAAUGUUGUCCAACAAAUUUUUGGCUAAGUUCAUGGCACAUCUUCAAUAGAAUUUUUUUUAAAAUAUUCUAUGUGUAUUUAUUGAUUUUGAACCUUUAGAACGUAAGAUUAGAGGUUAGGUCAGUAGUUGAGGAGAUUCAAUAGUUACCUUUAGGUUCAAGUUCAUAUCUCAAUCACUAUAUUUUUAGUUUUCAAACCUCCUUAGUGAAAAUUCUAAAUUUGCCAUUGAAUAUUAUUUGAAUUCAUCAAUACAGGUUUAAGCACUUCAGAUACAAUAAUUAAGCGAAUUGGCAGCCAAGUUGUCUAUAAACUUCCUCAUUGUUUGAAAAACAUUAGCAAAAUCAGAUGAUUUUGGGAAAGCACCAAUCGAACAGUUGACAGAAAUAACAUGAAGUUUGAGACAUUUUGAGGGGAAUUUGUUUGGGUGAUAGUAAUGCUUGUAGGAGUAUUGAGGAGGCAAUGGACUAUGAGAUUAAUGAUACCUCAUGAGGUUAUAUGCCAUAGCGCGAGGGGUGAAGCUGAAAGAAUUCGAAAGUAGAUGAAGAUUAAGAAAUUAUAAAGCAUGCACUCGAAUUGUU